UUUCGGCGUAAAGAGUGGUUAAAUGCCCACCUUCACUAAAGCCAAAUGCUCUCAUCGCUGUUAUACGCUUCCGAGAGUAAGAAGCCCCACUACGAAAGUAGCUUUAUUAGAAUUGACCCCACGAAAGCUGUGGAACAAACUGGGAUUAGAUACCCCACUAUGCACAGCCAUAAACUUAGGCAGUUUACUACAAUAUCUGCCCGCCAGGAACUACGAGCACUAGCUUGAAACCCAAAGGACUUGGCGGUGCUUAAGACCCCCCUAGAGGAGCCUGUUCUAGAACCGAUAACCCCCGUUUAACCUCACCCUCUCUUGUUAAUACCGCCUAUAUACCGCCGUCGUCAGCUUACCCUGUGAAGGCUUAAUAGUAAGCUAAACUAGCA
This 383-nucleotide ribosomal RNA is filed under the name Paraclinus integripinnis (reef finspot). RNAcentral's name for it is "partial 12S ribosomal RNA". It matches the Rfam family "Bacterial small subunit ribosomal RNA", at positions 553 to 1107 of the family's 1533-position model. The record is from RNAcentral. Lineage: Eukaryota; Metazoa; Chordata; Actinopteri; Blenniiformes; Labrisomidae.